This 442-nucleotide ribosomal RNA is filed under the name uncultured bacterium. RNAcentral describes it as "partial 16S ribosomal RNA". It matches the Rfam family "Bacterial small subunit ribosomal RNA", at positions 338 to 795 of the family's 1533-position model. The record is from RNAcentral.
CCUACGGGUGGCAGCAGUGAGGAAUAUUGGGCAAUGGGCGCAAGCCUGACCCAGCCACGUCGCGUGAAGGAAGACGGCCUUCCGGUUGUUAACUUCUUUUGUUAGGGAAGAGUAGUUAACGGUACCUGACGUAUUAGCCACGGCUAACUACGUGCCAGCAGCUGCGGUAAUACGUAGGUGGCGAGCGUUAUCCGGAUUUAUUGGGUGUAAAGGGAGUGUAGCUGGGUUGACAAGUCAGUUGUGAAAGCUUGCGGCUUAACCGUAAAACUGCAUUUGAAACUGGCAGUCUUGAGUACUGGAGAGGCAGGCGGAAUUCGUGGUGUAGCGGUGAAAUGCUUAGAUAUCACGAAGAACUCCAAUGGCGAAGGCAGCUUACUGGACAGCAACUGACAGUGAGGCGCGAAAGUGUGGGUAGCAAACAGGAUUAGAUACCCUAGUAGUC